CAGUAGCCGCGGUAAUACGAAGGGUGCAAGCGUUAAUCGGAAUUACUGGGCGUAAAGCGUGCGUAGGCGGUUUGUUAAGUCUGUUGUGAAAUCCCCGGGCUCAACCUGGGAACUGCAUUCAAAACUGACUGACUAGAGUAUGGUAGAGGGUGGUGGAAUUUCCUGUGUAGCGGUGAAAUGCGUAGAUACAGGAAGGAACACCAGUGGCGAAGGCGACCACCUGGACUAAUACUGACACUGAGGUGCGAAAGCGUGGGGAGCAAACAGGAUUAGAUACCCGGGUAGUCCCUGUCUCUUAUAC
RNAcentral lists this ribosomal RNA (301 nucleotides) under uncultured bacterium. RNAcentral's name for it is "partial 16S ribosomal RNA". It matches the Rfam family "Bacterial small subunit ribosomal RNA", at positions 509 to 807 of the family's 1533-position model. The record is from RNAcentral.